CACGCUUUGUUUAAGUUGGGCGUUUACAUGUGCGUGCGCCUCAUGUGGAUAUUUACAUAUGAAGGGCGCAAGCCGCUCGUGGUCGGGAUCACAACAGAGAUAAUGAGUUUAUACGGGAAAGACUGAACAUCUAUAAGACUUACUUCAUUUAAAAGUAGACAUGCCAAGCUUUCUAUAGAUGUAUUUGUCAUGUCUCUGUGUAAAAUAUUCGCUGAGUUUCAGUUCAUUUUAGUGAAGCCUUUCAGAUGGAUGUUUGCAGAGACAGAGAAGACAGAGAAUGCACCCUGUAUGUUUUCUUUAUUUUACAAAAGCACAAAGUUUUGUUGUUAUUGUGAGUUUACACAAAAGUAGACACGUAAAGGUUUUGAAUGAUAUAUAACACUUAUUUGUGACCAAAAUCAGUAUUUUUAGUGUCUUUCGCCCUUCUGUGUCUUUCUGAUCUUAAAAAAAUGAGCUGGUUGCACCAGCAUGACCGUUGACCCCCAAGUGGCCGAAGAAGGCUGAAAGUGAUGUAGUUACUGGAGAAUUGGACUGCUACAGAGAUUAAGCCCACUGAAGAGUGCGACCAGGAAGCAGAAAGAUGACAAUCGCCACUUGGGCGUGAUCGCUGAUGAACUGGUGAGACUGCAUUUCUAAAUAUAAUAAACAUUGUAGGAUGAACCCGCUGCAAUCCUCCGCCUCACCGGUGAAUGUCACUGGUCAAGCCAUGGGACUGGCAAAGGCAGCAGGCAAAAUAGCUGGUUGCAGGAGUGAUUGUUGUGCGGCUUGUACGAGGUCGGCUGGAAUUGCAAAUGAAGUGGCAGACGUGGAAGGCUGGAGAGACAGACAAAAGGCAUUAACCAGAUCAGUGAAAGUAUCCGUGGAGCUCUGCAUUAGGUCUUGGCUGUGUUCCAGUCCAUUUUUUUAUGUCCUUCACUCGCAAACUUCCCUCUGUCUCGUUUACUCAGAUGUACGUCAUUGAUUACAUUGCAUGAGUGCCCACUUGUGGCGGAACCUUUGUAAUGGGCUGAACUGGAACGUCCUAAGCCCUUGAAUCAGCGGUUCAGUUGGUUUAUUGUUUACAUUUUUCCCCUUAUGAAUUUGUUUGGUGCACCAUUCUAUAUGUAUAUAGGUAUGCCUGGGCUGUUAUAAAAGUUAAAAAAAAUAAUUUACAUAUUAUAGACUUGUUUGGGGUGGGGAUAAAUGAAAUGUGAUCUAUGAUAAAAUCAUAGUCGUUUUGCAUUGUGGUCUAUAGAGCGGCCUGAAGUAUGCAUAAGAAGCAGACUCGCUGCCUCUGUCAAAAUCGAGGGGUCGCGGGUAUGUCCAUGUAAACUUCCCUCGUCCACUUGACGAAGUGGAACGCACUUCAAAAUGGCAGCAGGGGUUCCCUUAGGGAAGUUUGCGAGUGCAUGUCUAAAAGUGAACUGGAACACAGUCCUGGUCUUCUGUCAUACAACAGAAGGAUACUGACAGGUAAGCUGUAUAAAACACAGAGUUUAUUGAACAGAGGCACGGAACUGGACAGGAAUGCAGACUGGUGAGUAGAUGACAAUAUGCAGAAUGUAUGUAGACUUAGCUUGUAAUAAUAGUAAAGUCUCUCUUGCAGGAGAACGGAUCUGAAGCAGGGCAGAUGACGGAUGACAGAAGACACGUUAGGAUUCCAGUGGGCAGCCGAGCUCCUGGAGGCGUGCCGUGGGCAGAGCUAAAGAGUGACGAGCACUUGGGUGCCAAAUGCCAACAGAACAGCCAUUUGAUGCAUUUGUUUCACUUACUGUCUGCAGUUCUGAAUCAUGCCGGGAUCUUUUAUAGCUGGGACCGCUCCAUCCUUCAGUAUCAAAUGCUGUGCAAAUCCAGCAUCGAACUGGGCCUUGUUUAUAAAACAUUCGUCAACAAAAAACUCCAUUGCUGCCUCGGAAAAACAAACUGUAUCAAAGUUAUCUUUCCCUUACAACUAAAAACACACUUCUUUGGAUUGGAGACAUUCUUCCCGAACGAGUCCUGUGCAGCGCUCUGGUUGAUGUGUGCAUGGGUGCGCUCUUCCAUGAGAAAUGCCCUUCCGUGAGAAAUGCCCA
Cyprinus carpio carpio is the source of this 2051-nucleotide long non-coding RNA. The record is from Ensembl. NCBI's taxonomy places the organism in Eukaryota, Metazoa, Chordata, Actinopteri, Cypriniformes, Cyprinidae.